Molecule: long non-coding RNA, 44608 nt
Filed under: Hordeum vulgare
Lineage: Eukaryota; Viridiplantae; Streptophyta; Magnoliopsida; Poales; Poaceae
Description: long non-coding RNA (HVUL_LNC021106)
Source: RNAcentral
CCGGAUCCGGUCCGGUCCGGUUCCGGGGAAGGGCCGCCUCGCCCGCCUCGCCUGUUGCCGGCGAGCUCCUGCCGCCGCUGCAUCCCGUGCGGGAUCGGGAGGAGGCGACGAACCGCCGGAGCGCAGCAGCCAGCCGCGUGGGCCCCGCUCGCUAGCCGCCAGCCUCCAGCUGGGCCUCGCGUCACCCCGGCCCAGCUCCUGGUGCGCCCCGCCAGCGAGGCCCACUGCCCCGAAGUCGGCCCAGGCGCCCCUGCGCGAGCCUUUUCUGCCUCCCUGCACCAUGGGCUUGGCCCAUGAGGUCAGCAUCCCUCCAGCCGGUCUAUUCCCCGCCCCCGGCGAUAGUUAGCUAUAUUGCGCUGACCUGUUCGGCCCGUUAGUAUAUUUAGGGGGUUUUGCAAUAUAGUGUAGUGUUUGCGUGACAUUUAUUGCCAUGCCAUCCCUUGCAUCGAUUAAUAACUGAUCAUGCAUCAUAUUAGCGUAUGCAUAUUGUUGUGCAUCGUGUGGUGAAUAUUUGUGUUGAUGUUUGUUUCCGGUUUGCUCCAUUCUGAUAGAGUUCCGCAAGCGUGUCGGAAUGUGAGGACCCGUUCGACUAUGUGGCUCGCGGACUUCUCGGAGUUGUUCUUCUUCCAAGCGGGAUCUCAGGCAAGAUGAUCAUUUCCCCAGAUACCAUUACUAUCAUUGCCAUGCUAGUUUUACCGCUUCUAUCACUUAUGUCUCGUUGCCUACCACAUGUUAAAUAUCAUCCUCUCAACUAUGCCAUGAAACCUUCAACCUGUUCAACCUAGCAAACCACUGAUUGGCUAUGUUACCGCUUGCUUAACCCUGUGUUAGCGUUGCUAGUUGCAGGUGCAGUUUUGCUUCCAUGUGAAAACAUGGGUUCCUUGUUAUAUCACCAUAUUUAAUGCUAUUUAAUUUAAUGCACCUAUAUACUUGGUAAAAGGUGGAAGGCUCGGCCUUUCUAGCCUGGUGUUUUGUUCCACCUUUGCCCCCUUAGUUUCGGCUACCGAUGUUAUGUUCCAUAAUUGAGCGCUCCUAACACGAUCGGGGUUGUUAUGGGGACCCCCUUGAUAAUUCGUUUUAGAUUAAAGCUGGUCUCGCAAGGCCCAACAUUGGUACUACAUUUUCCCAACAUAAUAAUUUGAUAAUUUGAAAUGCAUAGGGAGGUAGCGCUUCCCGAGGAGUAAUUCUACAUAAUACAGGGGGGCCAGUGCUGUUGGUGCUGGUCCAAAACUAGAGCCGUUUGCGGGGCCAACCAGGGACAACUCGGGAGAUUUCUAUCAGGCCACCGUACGUUGUGCUUAUCCGUCAUGUCCUGAGAACAAGAUACGCGGCUCCUAUCGGGAUCGUUGACACGCUGGGCGGCCUUGCUGGAUUAGUUUUACCUUUGACGAGAUAUCUUGUGCAUCGGGAUUCCGGUGAUGCUUUGGGUAAUCUCAGAGUUGAGGUUUUCCACUAAGGAAUCCGACGAGAUCGCGAGUGUCGUGAUCGAGGAUUUCUAUGCGGCUUGUGGUAAUUUGUGAUGGACUAGUUGGAGCACCCCUGCAGGGUUAAAUCUUUCGGAAAGCCAUGCCCGCGGUUAUGUGGCAACGUGGAAACUUUGUUUAACACUGGUUCUAGAUAACUUGAAGUUAACUUAAUUAAAACAUGCCAACUGUGUGCGUAACCGUGACUAUCUCUUUCAUGAGUUCCUUCUCCGAUCAAGGACACGGUGGGGUUAUGUCUGAUGUAGGUAGGUGUUCAGGAUCAUUCAUUUGAUCAUCAGUAGUUCACGUCCGUUAUGCGUAGAUCUUCCCCCUCUUAUUCUUGUACUCGUAAGUUUAGCCACCAAAUGUAUUCUUAGCCGCUGCUGCAACCUCACCACUUAACCUUGCCUCACCUAAUAAGCUUUUCUAGUCUUCAUACCUUUGGAAAUGAGAUUGCUGAGUCCCCUGUGGCUCACAGAUUACUACAACACCAGUUGCAGGUACAUGUAAAGGUUACUUGAGGCGAGCGCGUUGAUUGUUCAUUUGGAGUUGCUUCUUCUUCUUCUUCUUCAUCGAUCUAGGAUGGGUUCCAGGCCGGCAGCCUGGGAUAGCAAGGAUGGACGUCGUUCUUUUUUUCUCGUUUGUUUUCGUCCGUAGUCGGACCCUGCUCUUACUCUUGAUGAUCAUGUAAUGUACUGAUGUGACUCUGAUGUAGCUUGUGGCGAGUGUAAGCCAAUUCUAUAUAUAUAUAUAUCUCUUCUUUUCAGUACAUGUACUUGUAACGAUAUCCAUUCUUGCGACACGACGAGAUGCGCUUCUAUCCCUGACGAGGCCCCGUGCCAAAUUGAGGAUAGGGUCGCAUCUUGGGCGUGACACGACAUCAUCUUGACGUCUCCGAAAGGGGACCAGCUCAAGUACGCUCUCCAGAUCCAUUUCGCCGCCUCCAACAACGUCGCCGAGUACGAAGCACUGGCUCAUGGCCUCCGGCUUGCCAAGGAGAUCGGCAUCCGGCGGCUCAUAUGCUUCAGCGAUUCAGACUUGGUGGUGCAGCAGGUCUUUGGCGAAUGGGACGCCAGGGACGCCAACAUGGCGAGCUACCGCUUCCUCAUCCAGCAGCUCAGCGGCCCCUCUGAGGGUUGUGAGUUCCACCAUGUUCCCAGGGCGGACCAUGAGGCGGCCGAUACACUGGCGAAAAUCGGCUCCACGAGACAGGCCAUUCCAGCCGGCGUCUCCCUCGCGCAACUCCACAAGCCGUCUAUCAAGCCAUAUCCCGAGUCGGCAUCAAUCUUUGUACCGGCCGACUCUACGAUACAAACGCUGCCGGCUCCGCCAGUUAUGCCGGCUGCGGACCCCACGCCGGCUGCACUGGCGGCACCGGCUCCAAAUACGACACCGACUGAAUCCAUGGUGCAAGCGCCGUCGGCUCCACCAACUACGCCGGCUUCGGAUCCUAUUCCGGCUCCAUUGGUCCAACCGACUCCAAUAGCGGCACCAGCUACAACAACAACCCCGGCUUUGCCCGGGCUCGAAUCCUCCCAGUGGGUAGACGUCAUGGAGAUACACGGUGAGCCAGCUGCAGUAAUAGCACUAGAGACACCAUCAGGCUCGGGGGCCGCGGAAGCCUCCAACAGUCAAGACGAAGCAGAGACGACCCUUGUGUCGGCUCCAUCAUGGGCUCAAGCCAUUAUGGCCUUCCUUCUUCGCAGCGAACUUCCUCAGAACGAGGCGGAGGCGAGACAGAUCCAGCGCAGGUAUGCCGCCUAUGCCAUCAUCAAUCGCGAACUGGUGCGACGCAACACGACCGGCGUGUUCCAACGCUGCGUCGAAUCAGAAAAAGGGCAGGAGAUCCUCAGAGACAUUCACCAGGGGGAGUGCGGACAUCACGCCACCUCCAAAACCCUAGUGGCCAAAGCAUUCCGCCAUGGAUUCUACUAGCCCACGGCCCUCGAGGAGGCCGUGGAUCUGGUGGACAAAUGCGAAGGCUGCCAACGCUUCAGUGGACAAAGCCACAUGCCGCCUUCGGCACUCAAAACCAUUCCCUUAUCAUGUCCAUUCGCCGUCUGGGGACUCGACAUGGUUGGGCCCUUGAAGACGGCUCGCGGAGGGAUGACACAUCUUUUGGUAGCUGUCGACAAGUUCACCAAGUGGAUCGAAGCCACACCCAUCAAAAAACUUGACGGCCCCACCGCUGUCAGGUUCAUCACAGACAUCUCUGUCCGAUAUGGCGUUCCCCAUAGCAUCAUCACCGACAAUGGCACCAACUUCGCCAAGGGCGCCCUGGCGCCCUACUGUUCCAAGGUAGGCAUCCGACUCGACUUGGCUUCAGUGGCACACCCUCAGUCAAACGGCCAAGCAGAGAAGGCCAACGGCCUGAUCCUAGCCGGCAUCAAGCUAAGGCUGGUGGCACCACUGGUGAGGUCAGCCGGCUGCUGGAUUGAAGAACUGCCAGCUGUGCUAUGGAGCCUCCGCACCACGCCCAACCGGUCGACCGGCUUCACUCCAUUCUUUCUGGUAUAUGGAUACGAGGCUAUUAUUCCCACGGAUGUCGAGUUCGACUCGCCUCGGGUCACCCUAUACACAGAAACAGAGCCGAAGGAGGCCAGAGAAGACGGUGCGGAUCUCCUCGAAGAAGCAAGGGACUUGGCUUUGAGACGGACGGCCAUUUACCAACAAAAGCCGAGAUACUACCAUAGCAAAAAAGAUCAGGCCUCUCUCUUUCAGGGAGGGAGACUUGGUCCUCAGAAGAAUCCAGCGCACUGCCGGCCAGCACAAGCUCUCAUCCCCCUGGGAGGGACCCUUCAUCAUCAGCAGGGCGCUGCACAACAACGCUUACUACCUGAUUGACGCCCAGAAGCCAAGGAAGCGCAAGAGGGACGACUCCGGCCAAGAAACGGAGCGUCCAUGGAAUGCGGCGUUGCUUCGCCCGUUCUAUUGCUAAAAGGCAGAAGUCAAGCAAAGGAAAGAGCAUGCACUUGUAUCUAUCUCCCUAUUCAGAGAACAACAAAUGCGAUAAAAAGAGCAUGCUUCAUGUUUCUUUUUAUUGAGAGUUCUCACCCAGUGUAUGCCCUCUGACACGCUUCAUUAAGCUCGGGGGCUACACCGCGUACAACCUCUUGCUGGCUUAAUCAAGAUCGGAGGCUACGCAGCGCACGCCCCUUGCUGGCUUUAACAAGCUCGGGGGCUCGCUAGCCGCUCGGACGGCCCAUCCUUGUAAAUGGAUGCAUAGUGUACCGGCUGAUCCCUGGCCCCUCGUACGAACCUGCGGGCUGGCUCCGGUCGCUCGGUUCGCGAGGAGACGCCGGGUAAGGUCGAAUACAUGCAAAGUCCGGCUACACUUGGGUCGCCGGCUCGGGUUGGCUCGAUCGUAUAUACGAUCUCAUUCACGAAGCCGGCAUUGCUUUGCCCGUUCUACUACUAAAAGGCAAAAGUCAAGGAAAGGAAAGAGCAUGCACAUGCAUCGUCCUCCCUCUUCAGGGAACAACAAAUGCGAUAAAAAGAGCAUGCUUCAUGUUUCUUUUUAUUGAGAGUUUUCACUGAGUGUACGCCCUCUCACACGCUUCAUUAAGCUCGGGGGGUACACCGCGUACAACCUCUUGCUGGCUUAAUCAAGCUCGGAGGCUACGCAGCGCACGCCCCUUGCUGGCUUCAACAAGCUAGGGGGCUCGCUAGCCGCUCGGACGGCCUGCCCUUGUAAAAGGACACAUAGUGUACCGGCUGAUGCCUGGUCCAUCGUACGAACCUGCGGGCUGGCUCCGGUUGCCUGGUUUGCAAGGUGACGCCAGGUCAGGUCGAAUACAUGCAAAGUCCGGCUACACUUGGGACGCCGGCUCGGGUUGGCUCAUUCAAGCCGGCCUCUGAUUGGCUUAUGUCUUGUUCUUUAUCUCUUGAUGGCUUCGGAUUAGAGAAGUCAACCAGGAAUCAAAGACAGGAUCAUAAGACAACACGCUUGGUGACGAAUAUAAUGCUGAAUAUAUACAUUCGCAAAAUCAUUGGCCCACGGCCCACGUUCAUUACAUCCCUUCGGGGGUAGAACCAAAACACAAAAGGACACCGGUUACGGGACAACGGCCUCAUUGGUCGUCUCGGCCGCUGUUCCUGAUCUGGUAGCAUCACCGCCUCCGACUCCUCCCGAGGUGGUUGCGCCGUCUCCCUCGCUGAAGCCCCCGGCUCCGUCAACACCGGAGUCGGAAUACGCCGCACCGCUGGAGGCGGCAGCAGAUUCCGUAGCCCGGAUCGCUUCGUCGGAGCUGCCGUCGGCGUCAUAGGGCUGAAGGCCGUGCGGAUCUGCAGCAAUCACACCGCCAUCUUCACCCCGAUCCAAAACGAAGUCAUCCCAGGCUGCGUACUCAGCGACGGUGCUGGCUCUCACGCGUAGCUCCUCCUCCUUGCCCUGCAGCUCCGCCUCCAAGCCGUUGCGUUGGGCAGCCAGCUUGCCCAAGUUCAGGUUCCGAUACCAUGACUUGGCCAAGCGCAGGGCCAUAUAAGCCCCAGACCGCGCUGCGGAGGCACGCCAGGCAUCCAGGCCCUCUCCAUCCACUGCAAGCCAGCGGGCGAGCCGGCUCAUGGACGCCGGCUCCACGCCUUCCGACCACAAGGCCGCCACCAUCGACGAACCUGCAACCUAGAGCUUGGCCACAGACUCGCCCAGCGCGUGCAGGCGGGCCCGAAGGCCCACCCCGAUCUUCUCCACACUCCAGCCGGAGGUAGUGUCUACCUCCUGCCCGGCCGCGCGGUGCUCCUCACGGCACACCUCGACGGCAGUGUCAGCUGCGACCUGGGUCUCGGGGAAGAGAUCUGGAGUGACGACAACCAGGACAUAAGAACACAACAAAAGUAGGAGACCACAAAAAGACCAAACAUAAAACAAGGAAGAGAGACCCACGAUGCAAGGCGUCGUCGGUCUCUUGAGAGACCUCGAGGACCUCGCGCUCCUGCACCUUACUCGCAUGAGUAAGGCGGGCGACUUCCUCCUAGAGGGUCGCCGCAGACUCCAGAGCCUUGGCCAGCUGCGUCUGCUUCUGGACAAGGGCCCCAUCCUUCUCCCUCAAGGUGGCGUCCUUGAGGUCCACCUCCUUGAGGUGAAGCCACGCGAGGCGGUCCACGUCGGCAGAGUAGGAGGCCUCCUUCUCCUGCAGCGUGGCCUACAGCCGCUCCAACUCGACCCAGCCAGCCGCCUCGAGCUCCUUCUUCUUCGCCUGAAGAAGGUCCAGCAGCUCUUGGAGCCGGCCGCCGGCGUUGCAUAGGGCAUCACGCUCUGCGGCGACCCCGCCCAUCCGGGCUUCAAGCUCAGCAAUCCGGCUACCGCCCCCCAGGUGCUGGUCCCGUAGCUCGUUGUAUGCCUGUACCUGAGCAUCAUAAAGCACCUGCCAAAAGGGAGAAAAAGGGAACAAAAUUAAGAUUCGACCUGGUUAAAAACUUAACCAGCCCGAUUCUCGGGGGCUACACCCAGUGGGUGCGCUAGCCGCCCCCACUGAAGAAAACUACGCAGGGAAAAAGGCCUCCAAGAGAUUCGGACCGGUUGGCAAUCAACCCGCCCGAUUCUCGGGGGCUACACCCAGUGGGUGUGCUGUCCCGCCCCCACUAACGCCAAGAGAAGAGAAAAAUAAGUACGAAAAACCAAAGAAGGCAAUGCCUACCUGGGUGCGGGCUUCCAGGCGCUCCAUGUCGCCGCAUACCACGCGGGCCGACUGCUCCACCUUCGACCUGCUGCUGGAGAACAUCGUCACCAGCUCCGGUACGCCAGAGAGAACGGUACCAGCAGGCAAUCGCAGGCGGGCCAAGUUCGCCGCCCGCCAUGUCUUCAUAUGCCGGCUCCCAGCCCGGCCCCCGGCUCUUGGUGCAACAGGGCCGUGCUGAGGAACGACGAUGGCGCCGGCUCCUGGUGCUAGCUCGACAGCCGGCUCGGGCGCCGCCCCAGCCAGCGCUACCUCCCCCACAGGAGGCGGAGGGGCCGCGUCCGGCGCAUCCAUAGUCGCCCCUGGGACGUCAGGGGCCGCGUCCGGCGCCGCCAAGUCCAUCUCCGGCGCGUCGCGGGCCGCUUCGGCCCGGGGAGAGUCAGGGAUCGUCUCCAGAUCCACCGGCGCCGAGGCCGCCGGUUCAGAUGGCUGGGCCCCCUCGGUCCUUGGGGCCGGCCUAGAGGCGGCCUCGCUACACUAGUGGAAAAUGGGCCUUUGGCCGGGACCCUUUAUUCCCGGCCUGCCUCUGGGCCGGGACUAAAGGCCCUGCCACGUCGCCCCAAUUCUCAAUGCCUCCCUCGAGGCUUUAGUCCCGGCCCGUAAGGAUCCUUUAGUCCCGGUUCGUGUCCCAAACCGGGACUAAAGGGCUACGCGGUGGGCAGUGGUGGUGGCAACCGUUUGUAUCCCCCUUUAGUCCCGGUUGGUGGCUCAACCCGGGACUAAAGGCCUAACACGUGGCAUGCCGUAGUUCUGGCAACCGUUGGUAUACCUCUUUAGUCCCGGUUGGUGGCACGACCCGGGACUAAAGGCCCAAACGGUUUGCAUCCCGCGUCGUUUCGGGCGAUGAAAAGCACGAACCGAAGCAGAGUCGCCAUUUCUCUGUUUCUUCUUCCCUCUCGCUCUCGCUCUGUUCUUCUCCUCUCUUCUUCCCUUCUCUUCUUCCACCAUGCCAACUCGCUUUGGAGAGGUGCUCGCACAUGGCAAGACCAAGCUCGAUGCCGUGUACACGAACGAGAGCAGGGAGAUGCCGUAUUUUCUUGAACAGUUGAAGGAAUGAUGGCUUGACGCCGCAAUGGAUCAUGAGAAGUUCUUGGGGCUUGAUCUGGAGUACACGGCCGAUCAACGCGGUGUUGUCAUCAUCCAACUAUGCUUCGCACACCAUGUCUUGCUCUUCCAAUGGGCGAGGUAAGCUUUGAGGCUUUCUUUGAUCCAAGGUAAUGACAUUGUAAGUUUAUUUGUUUCAAUCAUAGUUGGUUCCCUUCAAAUAGUUGUAGUGAAACAAUUUUGAUUAGUUGAAGGGGAACACAAUCUGAUUGGAAUAGUGUUCCAUAAUCUGAAAAAAUCGUAUUAGAAUCAACUAGUGUUUAAUAUGUUCCAUUGGAAUCAUAGUUGGUUCGCUUCAAAUAGUUGUAGUGAAACAAUUUUGAUUAGUUGAAGGGAACACAAUCUGAUUGGAAUAGUGUUCCACAAUCUGAAAAAUCUGAUAGAUUGGUUCAAUAUUUUCCAUUGAAAUCAUAGUUGUAGUGAUACAAUUUUAUGCGGUGUUCUUUGAUCCAAGGUUAUGAAAAUUGCAUAUAGCUAGUGAUCUCUCUAGGUUCCAUUGGAUAGCAAUAUGAUAUGUCAUAGUCAUGAAAAUUGCAUAUCGCUAGUGAUCUCUCUAGGUUCCAUUGGAUAGCUAUAGUGAUCUCUCUAGGUUCCAUUGCAUAUGUUCUAUUUGAAUCCUAAAGAUAAUUUUCUCUUUAGUUGUAGUGAAACAUGUUUCCUUAUUGCAGCAGUAUGUAACAUUUGUUCCAUUUUAAUUUGUUUCUGUUGCAGUAGUGACAAGCAUUGUCCAGAACUCAUGGACUUCCUUCGCAGUGGCAUCACUUUUGCUACCGUUGACAUAACGAACGACAAGAUGAAGAUUAGGUACAACUUCGGUAUUGAGAUACCAACUGGUUGCCUCAUUGAUCUCCAAACGGUAUUCAGGCUUCGACAUGUCAGGACUUCGAUGGCUCAUAUGGCAGUUGCCUUGAUCGACGAGGAAUAUGGUGAUAUGAAGACCAAUUUCCCAAAGUCUCAGCACAAACUUUGGGAGAAGGCCCCACUUUAUCGUAUCAACAUUGAGUAUGCAGCAAAAGAUGCAUACGUUUCAUACAAGUUGUACCGCAAGAUUCGAGUCGUCAACUAUGGCCAGCGUCACCUUGAAUAAGGUGGACAUUCUGAUUCGAGUCGUCAACUAUGGCCAGCGUCGCCUCGAAUAUAUAUAUCUAUGAUAGCUAUUAUUGUGUACUGUUUGGACUAGUAUCAUGUACUGCUUGGACCAAUUUAUAUAUGUCUAGUUUCUGUUUGUGCCAUUAUAGUUUCCAAAUUUGAAUGGUUUAGCCCGUUCUAACUUCAUUUGCUACUUUUGAAUGGUUUAUCCCUUUCUAACUUCAUGGUAUCAUGCAUUUCGACCACAUAUAUAUACAAAAAGUCUUCAGUUCAAAUAAGUUCAAAAAAUGAAAUCCCUUUUGUAACAGAUCUGUUUUUCAUUAAAACAGUCAUUUAAAAAUGAAAGACCAUUAGUCCCACGUGGCGUGCAGCGGAAUCAUGUGGCGUGCAGCGGAACCACGUGGCGUGCCGCGGAACCACUUUUGUUGUGGGGGUCGCUUUUCCUUCUUCUCCUUGUGCUAGAUAUUUGUUAUGCAUUAGGGAAAAGGUAUGGUGGACUCGCUCUCCUUCUUCUCUUUGUGCUAGAUAUUUGUUAUGCACUAGAGGAAGAAGGAGUAGCGACCAUCAUCGACGGUCGAAAAAUCAGGUGAGGGAGUGUCCACCAUACAUGAGAGAAGAAGAAUGCCGACUGUUGUUGUGGGUGUUGCUUCUCCUUCUUCUCUUUGUGCUAGAUAUUUGUUAUGCACUAGAGGAAGAAGGAGUAGCGACCAUCAUCGACGGUCGAAAAAUCAGGUGAGGGAGUGUCCACCAUACAUGAGAGAAGAAGAAUGUCGACUGUUGUUGUGGGGGGUCGUUUCUCCUUCUUCUCCUUGUGCUAGAUAUUGGUUAUGCACUAGGGGAAGUAGGAGUAGCGACCAUCAUCGACGGUUGAAAAAUCAGGUGAGCUAGUGUCCACCAUAUAUGAGAGAAGAAGAAUGUACACCAUAUACCAUAGGUGAGCUAGUGUCUACCAUAUAUGAAAUUGUUGAAAUUUUGUGAUGUGCCUUUGAAUGGUGCAUUUUUAACACACAAAAAGUAUGCGGUUCAAAUAAGUUCAAGAAAAUGAAAUCCCUUUGUAAGAGAUGAGUUCUUGUUCGAAACGCUGACACUACGAGAGAGAUUGUCUGUUUUCUACACGAAGUGCAUCCAGUUUUUGUCGUAGCCCUCUCAACUUUUUAACACAUGCUAUGUGGGUGAAAUGAUUAUAGCAUGCCAAAUAUCAACAUUGUCAGAGUUCAUUUGUAGUGCUUUUCAAUUUCAGGGUCAAAUACCUCAAAAAAAAAGAGUUCAUGCACGAAGAAUACCAAAUGAAGUCAGAAAUUGUUGAAAUUUUUUGAUGUGCCUUUGAAUGGUGCAUUUUGAACACACAAAAUUUAUGGAGUUCAAAUAAGUUCAAAAAAAUGAAAUCCCUUUGUAAGAGAUGAGUUCUCGUUCGAAACGCUGAUACUUCGAGAGAGAUUGUCCGUUUUGUACACGAAGUGCAUCCAGUUUUUGUCGUAGCCCUCUCAACUUUUUAACACAUGCUAUGUGGGUGAAAUGAUGAUAGCAUGCCAAAUUUCAACAUUUUCAGAGUUCAUUUGUAGUGCUUUUCAAUUUCAGGGUCAACUACCUAAAAAAAUAAGUUAAUGCACGAGGAAUACCAAAUUAAGUCAGAAAUUGUUGAAAUUUUGUGAUGUGCCUUUGAAUGGUGCAUUUUGAACACACAAAAAGUAUGGAGUUCAAAUAAGUUCAAAAAAAUGAAAUCCCUUUGUAAGAGACGAGUUCUCGUUCGAAACGCUGAUACUUGGAGAGAGAUUGUCCGUUUUGUACACGAAGUGCAUCCAGUUUUUGUCGUAGCCCUCUCAACUUUUUAACACAAGCUAUGUGGGUGAAAUGAUGAUAGCAUGCCAAAUUUCAACAUUUUCAGAGUUCAUUUGUAGUGCUUUUCAAUUUCAGGGUCAACUACCUCAAAAAAAAUAAGUUAAUGCACGAAGAAUACCAAAUGAAGUCAGAAAUCGUUGAAAUUUUGUGAUGUGCCUUUGAAUGGUGCAUUUUGAACACACAAAAAGUAUGGAGUUCAAAUAAGUUCAAAAAAAUUAAAUCCCUUUGUAAGAGACGAGUUCUCGUUUGAAACGCUGAUACUUCGAGAGAGAUUGUCCGUUUUGUACACGAAGUGCAUACAGUUUUUGUCGUAGCCCUCUCAACUUUUUAACACAUGCUAUGUGGGUGAAAUGAUGAUAGCAUGCCAAAUUUCAACAUUUUCACAGUUCAUUUGUAGUGCUUUUCAAUUUCAGGGUCAACUACCUCAAAAAAAAAAUAAGUUAAUAGUUUGGAUAGUCAAAAUAAUUACUUUUGAAAAUAGAAAAUAGUUUUGCAUUAUUUAUUCAAUUUCAAACAGUUUUCAUUAUCAUAGUUUUUUCAAAUUCUCAAAUAUGCAAAAUGAAUUUUAAUAAACAUAGUUUUUAAUUGAAAAUCACAAAUUAUAUAAUAGUUUGGAUAGUCAAAAUAAUUACUUUUUAAAAUAGAAAAUAGUUUUGCAUUAUUUAUUCAAUUUCAAACANNNNNNNNNNNNNNNNNCAAAAUUAAUUUUAAUAAACAUAGUUUUUAAUUGAAAAUCACAAAUUAUAUAAUAGUUUGGAUAGUCAAAAUAAUUACUUUUUAAAAUAGAAAAUAUUUAUGCAUUAUUUAUUCAAUUUCAAACACUUUUCAUUAUCAUAGUUUUGUCAAAUUCUCAAAUAUGCAAAAAGAAUUUUUAAUAAACAUAGUUUUUAAUUGAAAAUAACAAAAUAGAUAAUAGUUUGGAUAGUCAAAAUUAUUAAUUAUGAAAAUAGAAAAUAGUUUUGCUAACAAAAUAGAUAAUAGUUUGGAUAGUCAAAAUUAUUAAUUAUGAAAAUAGAAAAAAUUGAAACUAUAUGAGAAUUUAUAGAGAAAAUUCAAUCUAAAUUCAAAGUGAACUCACUUUGAAUUCAGGUUGAAUUUUCUCCAUAAUUUCGAAUAUAGUUUCAAUUUUCAGUGAGUUUAGACCCGUAAGCCUGCUUUAGAGAGGAACUCGAUGGAGAAGCUGCGACGGGGCUUAUAAACAAGUGCUAGUCCCCCUCGCUGGGCGAGGUGGGACUAAAUUUAUCGUGCAGCCGAGGAGGGGCUGUAGUCCCGGGUGGAGCCACGCCCCGGGACUAAAGACACCCUUUAGUCCCGGUUGGAGCGCCGCGCCGGGACUAAAGGCCCCUGCUUCCCGCCUUCUGGUCUGCCGAAAAAGGGCCUUUAGUCCCGGGUCGUGGCUCCACCCGGGACUAAAGGGGGUCUUUAGUCCCGGAUCGAGCCCUCCACCCGGGACUAAAGGGUGUCUUUAGUCCCGGAUCGAGCCCUGAACCGGGACUAAAGAUCCACCUAUAUAAGCGGGAGUUAGAAAAUUUCCAACCCAAAUCGCAUUUCCUUCUCUCCUUAUUCCUCGUUCUCCUGCCCGGCGCGGCAUAGCAACGAACUCGACGACGCCGUCAGGCUGCCUGCCGUCCUGCUCGCCGCCGCCUGCCGUCGUCCUCGCCGUCGCCGUCAUCCUCCUCGCCGCCGCCGUCCUCCUCGCCGCGCGCCGCCGUCCUCGCUGCGCGCCGCGCCUUCCUCCUCGCCGCACGCCGUCGACACCUCCGGCCGGUAAGCCCCCGGCCCCCUCCUCCCCAACACUCCGGCCAGUAGAAGAAAAGAAGAAAAAGGAGAAGAAAAGAAGAAAAAGGAGAAGAAAGGAAGAAAAAGGAGAAUGAAGGAAGAAAAAGGGAAGAAAAGAAGAAAAAUAUUUUUUUUUCAUUUAAUUCCUAUUGUUAUUAGGUUUGUGCUAGAUUAUUAGGGUUAGUAAUAUUUAAAAUUAGGAAAAAGGAAAAUAAGAAGAGGAGGAGAAGAAAAGAAGAAAAAGGAGAAUAAGAAGAGGAGGAGAGGAGAAGAAGAGGAAAAAUAGAAGAAGAGAAGAAGUAGAAGAAGAGAAAAAAUUAGAAGAGGAGGAGAGGAGAAGUAGAAGAAGAGAAGAGGUGAAGUAGUAGAAGAAGAGGAGAAGUAGAACUAGAAGAAGAAGUAGAAGAAGAGGAGAAAUAGAAGAAGAGGAAAAAUUAGUUUAGGGUUACAAGAAGAAGAAAUAUUGCAUAGUGUAUAUGCUUAAGUGUUAAUAGUGUUUCUUAGAUUAUUGCUUAAUUUUGCUAUUGUAUAUGCUUAAGUGUUAAUAGUUUAAUUUUGCUAUUGUAUAUGCUUAAGUGUUAAUAGUUUAUUUUUAGCAAGAAAAUUAAUAGAACUAGUUUAAUUUUUUAGUUCAUUUUACGAUGCUUAUCCCGCAUCCUCGUCGUCGACUCGGCGGAGGACACCUGCUUGAUCAGAGGGGCCCUGUCCGGGACUGGGCUCCGCCCGGCUGGUAUUGGGAGGUGCUACCUUCCGGGGGGCGUAGGUUGGUGAGGAGCCAGCCCGUCGUUGACCCGAUCCUUGUUUGAUGGCGGUCGCGUGGGCCAGUGAGGGUGCCGAGGCUUCCGGACACCGCGGAGGUGGUACGUCACUGUGUCAGCGAGGAGGAUGAGCACGUCCGUCGCUACAUGGUUGCGUUGGAGGGCAGGUUCGAGCAUACCUGGCAGGUUCUUCGGGGAUCUCACUGGAGCUAUGAUCCUGUGAUGGUUCCUUCUUUUUGGGUGUCCACCGCCCGCGCCGAUACCCGUCGGACGCUACGAUUCUAGAUGUAUCAGUGAUGCUAUAUGUAUGAUAGUAUUCGAGGAGUAUUAGUGAUAAUAUUCGACGAUGUACGGCCAAAAGAGAUGAUGUAUUUGCUUAUAAUUGAAUGCAUGCUAAUUUGAAUACUACUUUAUUUUACGAUUUGGUUUUGAUUAUUGAAUGCUCAAAUUGGAACAGUACUCCUACUUUGAAUACUAUGCAGAAAUCUAGGAGUCCCGGGUGGAGCCACGACCCGGGACUAAAUGUGUUUUGGAACGGAGUUCCUGAUAGAAUAAUUCUUUUUUGGUACAAAGGUUAAGAGAAUCCAUUUUUUGCAGAACUAUGGAUCCACAUAUCAGGAACCUCGAAGAGGAAGAACUUCUCGAAGAUAUAAUCAAAGACGGCCCCGACGUUGAACCAGCUGAAUCUCCGUCGUCAUAUCUAAACCCCUCCGGAUAUGGAAUGGAGGUCGAGCGACACGAAGAUGAAGCCGAUGGGGCAGGAGAUAGGUCCAAUGACGGAGAAGGUGAUAGCUCCACUGAUGGAGAAGCCGGUGGAGAAGCCGGUGAAGAAAUAAUAAAGUCCGGCGAGGUAUACAUAUGAAGUUCGACAAUCACUUGUAAUAUGUGAAAAAUAUUGGAGAUAGCUCUAUAUUGUAUACAUAUACAUUCAUUUGACGAAUGUUUCUCCCUCUUAGGCCUCCACAUCCAGCAAAGCUACGAAACGAGGCCCGACUAGAAAGUUGGAUGCACGGACGCAUUACACCUUUGAGGUGAUAUUGCCUACGGGCGAACCCAAGCUUCCUAAGAAUGUUGCUGACACAUUCAAGAAGCAAUGCGGAGUUCUCGUUAGGGAUCACGUCCCGAUCAGCGUUCGGGAGUGGAACAAGCGCAAAGGGGCAGCCGAUAGUGACUAUGUCGCCGAAAGGUACAAAGAUAAUCUUUGGAAUGAUCUCAUGUCACAUUUCAACCUGCCAGAAUGUGAGAAUGAAGACGCCGCAGACAAACUGAGGGCCAAAGUCAAGCAGUGGACUCUAAUGAAAAACUUAGCAAAUCAUUAUCCUUGUCGGGCAGGGUUUGGAAGCUGUUCAAGUGCGUGACUCCCGGUAUCGAGCCUGAGAAGCUGACCUUUAGAGCGGCUCAGGUAAGUACUAGUAUGAUAUACUUCUAUUUUCAAUACAUUUAUGAUGCUAGAUUAUUAUUUUUGAUUAUAUAUAUUAUAUUCUCGUAAAGUGCGACCAGCAGCCACGGGGAACGCAUCUAUGCGGAUACUAUGUUUGCGAGACCAUUCGCACGUUUACCUCUGAGCACAAGGAUCACAGAUUCGACGUAAGCAAUGAACAUUCACACCUCUAUUUUUACCCGUCAUUCUUUGUUAUCAUGAUUGAUAUUCAUAUUCAUCUCCUCUUCUUAUAUAGUACACAGCCAUGAGGACGAAGGUCCUACCAGAGCAACGCGCGAUUGCUGUUGCAGAGGAGCUUGCGACCUUUCUGAGGACGGAAGCUAUAGAUGACAAAGGACGAUUUAGUAUAGCUAGGGGCCAUUACUGAUGUUCGUCCAUGUAAUCGAAUAGACGGGCUAUAGUCCUGAUAAUUCAGAUCUCCAUAUAAUUGUAUAUAUAUGCUCGCUUGUAAGAUAAGUUAAUCUUAUGUAUAUAUGCAUAAUUAUUUAUAUUUAAAUUAUAUGAAAACUAAUUCCCGAACACUAAACGAGGCAUCACGUUAAUCUCCCGAACACCUAAACCCUAAAACCCUAAAACCCAAAAAUAAUUUCAUUCAAAAAAACCCAAAAAUAAGAAAAAUCUGAAACUCUUUAGUCCCGGUCCGUGUAACGAACCGGGACUAAAGGUCCUGCCCCUGGGGCGCUACGAGGCGCCCACGUGGAGCACCUUUAGUCCCGGCUUGUAACAGGGCCGGGACUAAAGGUUAGGCCUUUAGUCCCGCCCCUUUAGUCCCGGUUGGUGAACCGGGACUAAAGCCCCUUACGGGCCGGGGCUAAAGGCCCCGUCCCCACUAGUGCUAGUUGGCUCCUCCGCACGGGCAUGUGCGGAGGGGUCAUGUCUAGCCUUCACACGCUUCUCCACCGGCAUAUCGACCCGGCUGGGGCGAGGCUGACCCACGGCGGCCUUCCCCGCAGCCGUGUCCCACCGGCGCUUGGACUCUAUCUCAAGCUCCCUCUGGGCAGCAUCAGCUGCUGCCCAGCCGGCCCGCUCGACUGCGGAGGCGGUGUCUUCAUCCACAUCCCCCGCCUCCCUGUCAAGCAAAGCUCCUAAGGAACAAAGCUCAUCCCAAAACGGGCAAAGGAAACGAGGAGGAAACCGUACCCCGCAACUACAGGGACCUGCCUCCGACCACCACCACGGCGCCUCUUGGCGCCGCCUGCUCCCUGCCCGGCUGGAGGACCCGGCGCCGGCUGCUGAGAGGCUGACCGGGAAGUUGUGGCACCCUUUCCCUUCUUCCCGGCUACCUCGUCAGCAGCGGUCGCCCCGCCACCUUGACGCCGGCCACGCGCCGGUGGUGGGCUGGUGACCUUCUCUACCUCAUCGAAGUUUUCCUCGAAGGCUACACUAGAACAGAAUGAGGCUACCUCCUCGUCGUCCGUCCAGUCUGCUAUGGAGUGCCGCGUAUACUCAGCAAACGGCUCGGUCCCUUCCGACUCCAGGGGAUCUUCCGAGCCGGCGGAGGAGUCUGAGAGGGGCUCCAUCGCGCCCUCGUCCUCAAUCUCGGAGGCGUCGUACACCUCCACAUCAGGAGCGUGUUGGAGAUAUGCCCUAGAGGCAAUAAUAAAUUAGUUAUUAUUAUAUUUCUUUGUUCAUGAUAAUCUUUUAUUAUCCAUGCUAUAAUUGUAUUGAUUGGACACACAAUACUUGUGUGGAUACAGAGACAAAACACUGUCCCUAGUAAGCCUCUAGUUGACUGGCUCGUUGAUCAAAGAUGGCCAAGGUUUCCUGGCCAUAGGCAAGUGUUGUUACUUGAUAACGGGAUCACAUCAUUAGGAGAAUCAUGUGAUGGACUAGACCCAAACUAAUAGACCUAGCAUGUUGAUCAUGUCAUUUUGUUGCUACUGUUUUCUGCAUGUCAAGUAUUUGUUCCUAUGACCAUGAGAUCAUAUAACUCACUCUAGUUGGCUCCUCCGCACGGGCAUGUGCGGAGGGGUCAUGUCUAGCCUUCACACGCUUCUCCACCGGCAUAUCGACCCGGCUGGGGCGAGGCUGACCCACGGCGGCCUUCCCCGCAGCCGUGUCCCACCGGCGCUUGGACUCUAUCUCAAGCUCCCUCUGGGCAGCAUCAGCUGCUGCCCAGCCGGCCCGCUCGACUGCGGAGGCGGUGUCUUCAUCCACAUCCCCCGCCUCCCUGUCAAGCAAAGCUCCUAAGGAACAAAGCUCAUCCCAAAACGGGCAAAGGAAACGAGGAGGAAACCGUACCCCGCAACUACAGGGACCUGCCUCCGACCACCACCACGGCGCCUCUUGGCGCCGCCUGCUCCCUGCCCGGCUGGAGGACCCGGCGCCGGCUGCUGAGAGGCUGACCGGGAAGUUGUGGCACCCUUUCCCUUCUUCCCGGCUACCUCGUCAGCAGCGGUCGCCCCGCCACCUUGACGCCGGCCACGCGCCGGUGGUGGGCUGGUGACCUUCUCUACCUCAUCGAAGUUUUCCUCGAAGGCUACACUAGAACAGAAUGAGGCUACCUCCUCGUCGUCCGUCCAGUCUGCUAUGGAGUGCCGCGUAUACUCAGCAAACGGCUCGGUCCCUUCCGACUCCAGGGGAUCUUCCGAGCCGGCGGAGGAGUCUGAGAGGGGCUCCAUCGCGCCCUCGUCCUCAAUCUCGGAGGCGUCGUACACCUCCACAUCAGGAGCGUGUUGGAGAUAUGCCCUAGAGGCAAUAAUAAAUUAGUUAUUAUUAUAUUUCUUUGUUCAUGAUAAUCUUUUAUUAUCCAUGCUAUAAUUGUAUUGAUUGGACACACAAUACUUGUGUGGAUACAGAGACAAAACACUGUCCCUAGUAAGCCUCUAGUUGACUGGCUCGUUGAUCAAAGAUGGCCAAGGUUUCCUGGCCAUAGGCAAGUGUUGUUACUUGAUAACGGGAUCACAUCAUUAGGAGAAUCAUGUGAUGGACUAGACCCAAACUAAUAGACCUAGCAUGUUGAUCAUGUCAUUUUGUUGCUACUGUUUUCUGCAUGUCAAGUAUUUGUUCCUAUGACCAUGAGAUCAUAUAACUCACUGACACCGGAGGAAUACUUUGUGUGUAUCAAACGUCGCAACGUAACUGGGUGACUAUAAAGAUGCUCUACAGGUAUCUCCGAAGGUGUUUGUUGAGUUAGUAUGGAUCGAGACUGGGAUUUUUCACUCCGUGUGACGGAGAGGUAUCUCGGGGCCCACUCGGUAAUACAACAUCACACACAAGCCUUGCAAGCAAUGUGACUUAGUGUAAGUUGCGGGAUCUUGUAUUACGGAAUGAGUAAAGAGACUUGCCGGUAAACGAGAUUGAAAUAGGUAAGCGGAUACUGACGAUCGAAUCUCGGGCAAGUAACAUACCGAAGGACAAAGGGAAUGACAUACGGGAUUAUAUGAAUCCUUGGCACUAAGGUUCAAUCGAUAAGAUCUUUGUACAGUAUGUAGGAUCUAAUAUGGUCAUCCAGGUCCCGCUAUUGGAUAUUGACCGAGGAGUCACUUGGGUCAUGUCUGAAUAGUUCUCGAACCCGCAGGGUCUGCACACUUAAGGUUCGACGUUGUUUUAUGCGUAUUUGAGUUAUAUGGUUGGUUACCGAAUGUUGUUCGGAGUCCCGGAUGAGAUCACGGACGUCAUGAGGGUUUUCAGAAUGGUCCGGAAACGAAUAUUGAUAUAUAGGAUGAAAUCACGGACGUCACGAGGGUUUCCGGAAUGGUCGGGAAACGAAGAUUGAUAUAUAGGAUGACCUCAUUUGAUUACCGGAAGGUUUUCGGAGUUACCGGGAAUGACGAAUGGGUUCUGGGUGUUCACCGGGGGGGCGGGGGGGGCAACCCACCCCGGGGAAGCCCAUAGGCCUUGGGGGUGGCGCACCAGCCCUUAGUGGGCUGGUGGGACAGCCCAAGAAGGUCCUAUGCGCCAUAGGAAGAAAAUCAAAGAGAAAAGAAAAAAAAGAGGAGGUGGGAAAAGGGGGAAGGACUCCUCCUUCCAAACCUAGUUGGAUUCGGUUUAGAAGGGGAGGACUCCCCCCCCUUGGCUCGUCCGAACCCCUUGGGGGUCCUUGGACCCCAAGGCAAGGCUCCCUGUCUUCCCCCUAUAUAUACGGAGGUUUUAGGGCUGAUUUGAGAUAACUUUGCCACGGCAGCCCGACCACAUAUCUCCACUGUUUUACCUCUAGAUCGCGUUUCUGCGGAGCUCGGGCGGAGCCCUGCUGAGAUAAGAUCACCACCAAUCUCCGGAGCGCCGUCACGGGCGGAGCCCUGCUGAGAUAAGAUCACCACCAAUCUCCGGAGCACCGUCACGCUGCCAGACAACUCAUCUACCUCUCCAUCUCUCUUGCUGGAUCAAGAAGGCCGAGAUCAUCGUCGAGUUGUACGUGUGCUGAACGCGGAGGUGCCGUCCGUUCGGCACUAGAUCGUGGGACUGAUCGCGGGACAGUUCGUGGGGCGGAUCGAGGGACGUGAGGAUGCUCCACUACAUCAACCGCGUUCACUAACGCUUCUGCUGUACGGUCUACAAGGGUACGUAGAUCGGAAAUCCCCUCUCGUAGAUGGACGUCACCAUGAUAGGUCUUCGUGCGCGUAGGAAAUUUUUUGUUUCCCAUGCGACGUUCCCCAAUAGUGGCAUCAUGAGCUAGGUUCAUGCGUAUAUGUCUUUUCGAGUAGAACACAAAAGUUUUUGUGGGCGGUGAUGUGCGUUUUUCUGCCCUCCUUAGUCUUUUCUUGAUUCUGCGGUAUUGUUGGAUUGAAGCGGCUUGGACCGACAUUACUCGUACGCUUACGAGAGACUGGUUUCAUCGCUACGAGUAACCCCGUUGCUCAAAGAUGACUGGCAAGUGUCGGUUUCUCCAACUUUAGUUGAAUCGGAUUUGACCGAGGAGGUCCNNNNNNNNNNNNNNNNNNNNNNNNNNNNNNNNNNNNNNNNNNNNNNNNNNNNNNNNNNNNNNNNNNNNNNNNNNNNNNNNNNNNNNNNNNNNNNNNNNNNGCCUUGGGACUCAAGGGAGCCCCAAGGGCGCCGACCGAAGGGGAGGAGGUGGACUCCCACCCCAAUUCGGUUUGGGGGAAGGAGUCCACUCCUUCCUUCCCACCUCCAUCUUUCCUUUUUUUCAUUUGGUAUUUUCCACUUGUGUCGCCAUGGCCCUAUUGGGCUGGCCUCACCAGCCCACUAAGGGCUGGUGCGCCACCCCCAAGGCCUAUGGGCUUCCCCGGGGUGGGUUGCCCCCCCCGCCCCCCCGGUGAACACCCAGAACCCAUUCGUCAUUCCCGGUAACUCCGAAAACCUUCCGGUAAUCAAAUGAGGUCAUCCUAUAUAUCAAUCUUCGUUUCCCGACCAUUCCGGAAACCCUCGUGACGUCCGUGAUUUCAUCCGGGACUCCGAACAACAUUCGGUAACCAACCAUAUAACAUUCCGAAAACCCUCAUGACAUCCGUGAUCUCAUCCGGGACUCCAAACAACCUUCGGUCACCAACACAUAUAACUCAACUAUACUAAAACAUCAUCGAACCUUAAGUGUGCAGACCCUGCGGGUUCGAGAACUAUGUAGACAUGACCCGAGACACUCCCCGGUCAAUAUCCAAUAGCGGGACCUAGAUGUCCAUAUUAGAUUCUACAUAUUCUACGAAGAUCUUAUCGGUUGAAUCUCUGUGCCAAGGAUUCAUAUAAUCCCGUAUGUCAUUCCCUUUGUCCUUCGGUAUGUUACUUGCCCGAGAUUCGAUCGUCAGUAUCCGCUUACCUAUUUCAAUCUCGUUUACCGGCAAGUCUCUUUACUCAUUCCGUAAUACAAGAUCCCGCAACUUACACUAAGUCACAUUGCUUGCAAGGCUUGUGUGUGAUGUUGUAUUACCGAGUGGGCCCCGCACACUUGAGUCACAUUGCUUGCAAGGCUUGUGUGUGAUGUUGUAUUACUGAGUGGGCCUCGAGAUACCUCUCCGUAAAACGGAGUGACAAAUCCCAGUCUUGAUCCAUGCUAACUCAACGGACACCUUCGGAGAUACCUGUAGAGCACCUUUAUAGUCAUCCAGUUACGUUGCGACGUUUGAUACACACAAGGUAUUCUUCCGGUGCCGGUGAGUUAUAUGAUCUCAUGGUCAUAGGAAUAAAUACUUGACACGCAGAAAACAAUAGCAAUAAAACGACACGAUCACAUGCUACGUUCAUUGUUUGGGUCUAGUCCAUCACAUGAUUCUCUUAAUGAUGUGAUCCAGUUAUGAAGUUACAACACUUGCAUAUGGUCAGAAAACCUUAACCAUCCUUGAUCAACUGGCUAGUCAACUAGAGACUUGCUAGGGACAUGGUAUAAUAUAAAGAGAAGCGUAGAUGCAAGNNNNNNNNNNNNNNNNNNNNNNNNNNNNNNNNNNNNNNNNNNNNNNNNNNNNNNNNNNNNNNNNNNNNNNNNNNNNNNNNNNNNNNNNNNNNNNNNNNNNGAUUUCCGGUCUUCUCCGGACGUUCGGUCGCUGUUCAAUUCACAAUAUUUUCAGUGAUAUCUACAGGCCUCGGACGACCGACCCCUGUUGGAUGUCCCACCCCUCGCGGACGCUCGGACAUCCGGAAACUAUCGGACGUCCGGACCCUGUGUGACUUAAAGUGUCCCCAACGGCUGUUUUUCUAUCCCCACUAUAAAUACCCCCUCCCACUUCGUGAGAGGGUUGCCCAACACAGCCUUAUCCUCAUAAGAACACACUUCUACCUCACACACAUUUNNNNNNNNNNNNNNNNNNNNNNNNNNNNNNNNNNNNNNNNNNNNNNNNNNNNUUCUACCUCACACACAUUUGCUCACACCAAAUCUUAGAUCCCAAGAGCAUUUGUGAGCCCCUUUGAGAGUUGUUCCAAUCAAAAGAUAGAUCGUCUCCCUCUCCUCCUCUCAACCCAAGCUAUUUGAGAUUUGAGCAAGUUUUGAGCAUUCCCCGUGAUCUUGUUACUCUUGGAGGUUGGAGACUCCUAGGCGGUAGGAGUUCUUCGGAGAGGAAUGAAUCCGUGUGAUUACCCCCCCGGAAAAGUUUGUGAGGGUUUGGAAGCCACCUCAAAGGCUUACCACUAGUGGUUGAGAAACGCCUUCAUGGUGUUAUCUCGAAGGGAGAAUAGGGCGAGCCUUCGUGGCGUUGGUGUGCCUUCGUGGUAACAUCCACCUCUCUAACGGUGACUAGCUUCCCUCCAAGGAAGUGAACAUCGGGAUACAUCUUUGUCUGAGUAACCUUGGUUAUCCUUAACCCUAACUCCUUACUUGUGGUUUACUUGUGUUACUUGAGCAUACAUACAUUGCAUAUUGUUUGUGCUCAUUAUAUUGUGUUGGCUAUUUCUUGUACAGGAUUAAUCAUUGAAGCAUACCCUCUAUAUCCACACAUUCAUACUUGCAACCUUUGAUAUAUCGUGUGAUAUAGUGUGAUCUAGUAUCUUGUGUUGUUCACCUACUUGUCGUGUGAUAUAGCUCAAGUAAGUUUGUGUAACUUACUUGUGCUUGUUAGUAACUGUAUUGUGUCCAUCUUGGUAGAUCGUGUUGUUGAUACACGUUGCAGUGCCUAGUGCAUUUAGGAUUUGUGCUUGACAAGUACCCUCUUAGUUUAUUUCCGCAUUAGUUUCAAGCCAAAUCCGAAGAAGUUUUUAAAUAGCCUAUUCACCCCCCCUCUAGGCGUCAUCGAGGUCUUUUCAAUUGGUAUCAGAGCUAGGUCUCUCUUUAAUUAGGUUUCACGACCUAGAGAGUAUCGAUGUCGACUAUUGGAUUAGUGCACAAUGGCACCUUUGACUUUAAUGGCACAAAUUAUACCCUAUGGAGAAUCCGUAUGCUUCAUCACUUUCGGGCCAUGGGCCCAAAUACUUUACGAAUUGUUCUUGUAGGGAUUGCCGACAAAAAGGAUGAUGCAUCUUCAUCUACUAAUGAAAUGUAUCUUUAUUGUGAGGCUUUUCUUGCCAUUCAUCGAACCAUAAGUCCUGAAGUGUUUAAGUCUAUCUCAACUUGCAAGUCAGCUCAUGAAGUUUGGACUAAACUUGAAGAUAUAUAUGGUGGGUACAAUCUUGAUGAAGACGGUAUUAUGAUGAAGGAGUUGGUGCAUGAGCUCUUCACUCUUUUCGAUCUUAAAGAGUCCACCACUACUUCCAUAUCCGAUUGCUUGCACACCUCAACAUCUUCAAUCUCACAAGGUAAUGACAUGGUGAGUGAAGAAAUAUAUGUUGAUGAAAAUGUCAUAGCCUCUAUGGACACGAGCAUAUCUAGCACCACACAUAGUGUAAAUUAUUGUGCUGAUAGGUCAUGCAUUUCACCUAACGAUCCCUCGACAAAUGUCUGUGGUGAUAUGCCUGCUUCCUCGUGUCCUCUUGAUCAAAAUAUCUUGUUUCUCCCUAGUUGCUCUAUGACUAAUCAUUUAGGGGAAAUCAAGAAAUAUGAAGUACUUUUGACUAAUGAAGAAUCUGAUUCACCAAAAGAAUCAUCAUCAACUCCUCUAGUUCACAUGUGCCUCAUGGCAAGAGGUAAUAAUGAGGUAUCAUCUUCCCUGUGCAAUAACGAUGAUAUUUGCGAUGAGGAUGAUGAUGAUGACUUGACUGAAAAUAUCUAUGUGAUCAGUAAAAUUCUUCAUAAAGCUAAAAAUAACGCUCUUCAAAGAUUCCAAGAUGUUCUUGCUUACUUUGAAAAUUGUAAUGAUUCACUUAAUCAUGAACAAGCUAAAAGUGAACAACUUGAACAUGAACUUGAGAAGAGUCAUCAAGCAUGUAGAGACUUAAGAUCUUCAAAAGGAGAGACUGAAGUUACUCAUGAUAAACUUAAAAAGGAUUUUGAGAUCCUUCUCCUUGAAUGCAAUAAUGUCAAGGGAGAGCUCAUCAAAACCUCUAAGAUCUACGAGGAGCUUCAAUCCACUCAUGAGAAGUCUCUAUUUUCUACUUACUCCUCUCAUAUUGUUGAUGAUACUUGUACAUCUAACUCUACCUCAUUUGAAGUAUCAACAUUGAAGGAGAAUAUUGAGCUACGUGCUCAACUUGAUUUACUAACUAGCAAUUAUGGGAAGUUGGGAGAAAACCAUGUAAUGCUCACAAGCUCUCAUGCUGAUCUUCUAACAUCCUAUAAUGUGCAAAGGUUAGCUCAUGAGGCUAUCAUCACCAAGGUAACAUCAAGUGAGCCUCAUGUGGACAAUGGCACUACUUCUAGUCAAAGUACUAUAUUUCCAUGUGCUAGUCCUCGUAAUUCGUCUACUCAUAAUAUUGCUACCUCGUGUGAUGAAUUACUUUCCUUGCCUUGUUGCUCUAACAUUGAAGCUUACACUUCCUCUAGUACUUGCAUUAAUACUAACCGUGCAGAGGAAAUCGAAGAGCUCAAGGCCCAAGUCACUUCUUUGAAGAAAGGCUUGGAACAGUGUCAUGAAGGGAUGUCCACACUCAACAACGUCCUGUGUGAGCAAACAUCUCCGAAUGACAAAAAUGAUGUUGGAGUAAACUCAAACAAGAACAAGAGGGGCCUAGAACAAGUCAAGAAUUCGGCCAAAAUCAUUUUCUUCAAGUGCAAAGUUAAAGGGCACCAUGUUAGAUCUUGCCCUCUGAAGACGAAGUCUCAAAGUCACAAGCAACAAGGGAAGCGGCCACAAACUCAAUCACAUAUUCAACUACAAGUUGAAGGAAGGCCUCUUCCCAAUAAGACCCAAGCCAACACUCCCCGAGGUGAGAAAUCAACUAGGAAGAAAGCAAAGGGUAGAUGUUGCUACUUAUGUCGUGAGAAGGGUCACGUCGCUUCGUCUUGCACAAGAGGUAACUUAUCCAACCCAAUCACUAUUGAUGAUAUCUAUUCCCUUGGGAAGGAUAAGGUUGGCAAUGUGUUUGCCAAGUCUGUUGGUACUCAAAAUGGUGUCAAGAAAAGAACCAUUUGGGUUGCCAAGCCUAUCAUACUAGCAGUGUUUGCCAAGUCUGUUGGUACUCAAAAUGGUGUCAAGAAAAGAACCAUUUGGGUUGCCAAGCCUAUUGUGAUUAACCUCUUAGGACCCAACGUAGUUGGGGACCAACAAGUUCAAACUUGAUCAAUAGGUGACUAUGGAGGACAUUAGAGACUUGGAUACAUAAUGAAGAAUUAAGGGGUCUUCAUCAUUCAUAUUAUCUCAAGCCAAGUCAUUUGGAUUAUCGAGUUUCUAUCUUAUAUCCAAUGUGCCUCCUUACGGUAACUUAUACUUAAACUGUUUACAUUGUUAGGUGCUUGCCCCUUUGCAUGUUGUGGUUUUGUACCUUGCAUGCGUUUGUAUAUGUUGUGCUANNNNNNNNNNNNNNNNNNNNNNNNNNNNNNNNNNNNNNNNNNNNNNNNNNNNNNNNNNNNNNNNNNNNNNNNNNNNNNNNNNNNNNNNNNNNNNNNNNNNNNNNNNNNNNNNNNNNNNNNNNNNNNNNNNNNNNNNNNNNNNNNNNNNNNNUUUUGUGUCUUCUUUGUAUUUUUGUUGGCUCUUGUGAGAGAUUAAUGGAUUAUCCCAUUGUGGGGGAGUGAUGUGCUUUGCACACCUCACAAUCCUAUAAAUGUGCAUACAUGGGGAAUACCACUUAGUUUUGAUAUUUCAAGAUUAUCUANNNNNNNNNNNNNNNNNNNNNNNNNNNNNNNNNNNNNNNNNNNNNNNNNNNNNNNNNNNNNNNNNNNNNNNNNNNNNNNNNNNNNNNNNNNNNNNNNNNNCUAAAGCAAUGGCACCAGUGUUGUCACAGAACAGAGUUAUUUGAUUUAGUGCGCUCGGCACAACUCCAAGAUCCGUCAUGAACUGCUUCAUCCAGACACCCUCCUUAGCUGCCUCCGAGGCAGCCAUGUACUCCGCUUCACAUGUAGAACCUGCUACAAUGCUUUGCUUGGAACUGCACCAGCUUACCGCACCCCCAUUAAGAAUAAAUACGUAUACGGUUUGAGACUUAGAGUCAUUCGGAUCAGUGUCAAAGCUUGCGUCGACGUAACCCUUUAUGACGAGCUCUUCGUCACCUCCAUAAACGAGAAACAUUUCCUUAGUCCUUUUCAGGUACUUCAGAAUAUUCUUAACCNNNNNNNNNNNNNNNNNNNNNNNNNNNNNNNNNNNNNNNNNNNNNNNNNNNNNNNNNNNNNNNNNNNNNNNNNNNNNNNNNNNNNNNNNNNNNNNNNNNNNNNNNNNNNNNNNNNNNNNGUGCACAACAUUGCAUACAUGAUAGAACCUAUGGCUGAAGCAUAGGGGACGGUACUCAUCUUUUCUCUAUCUUCCGCAGUUACUGGACACUGAGUCUUACUCAAUUUUAUACCUUGUAAUACUGGCAAGAACCCCUUCUUGGACUGUUCCAUUUUGAACUUCUUCAAAACUUUAUCAAGGUAUGUGCUUUGUGAAAGUUCUAUCAGGCGUCUCGAUCUAGCGCUAUAGAUCUUAAUGCCUAGAAUGUAAGCAGCUUCUCCUAGGUCCUUCAUAGAGAAACUUUUAUUCAAGUAAUCCUUUAUGCUGUCCAAAAGCUCCACGCCGUUUCCAAUCAGUAAUAUGUCAUCCACAUAUAAUAUUAGCAACGCCACAGAGCUCCCAUUCACUUUCUUGUAAAUACAGGAUUCUCCAACCACCUGUAUAAACCCAAAUGCUUUGAUCACCUCAUCAAAGCGUUUAUUCCUACAAGAUUCUCCAACAACUUGUAUAAACCCAAAUGCUUUGAUCACAUCAUCAACGCGCUUAUUCCAACUCCGAGAUACCUGCACCAGUCCAUAAAUGGAUCCCUGAAGCUUGCAUACUUUGUUAGCAUUCUCUGGAUCGACAAAACCUUCGGGUUACAUCAUAUACAACUCUUCCUUAAGAAAACCGUUAAGGAACGCCGUUUUGACAUCCAUCUGCCAAAUUUCAUAAUCGAAAAAUGCAGCUAUUGCUAACAUGAUUCGGACGGACUUAAGCAUCGCUACGGGUGAGAAUGUCUCAUCGUAGUCAAUUCCUUGAACUUGUGAAAUACCCUUUGCCACAAGUCGAGCUUUAUAAACGGUCACAUUACCGUCAGCGUCCGUCUUCUUCUUAAAGAUCCAUUUGUUCUAAAUAGCCUUGCGGCCUUCAGGUAGUACUUUCACUUUACCGUCCGCGUUUGUCUUCUUCUUAAAGAUCCAUUUGUUCUGAAUAGCCUUGCGGCCUUCAGGUAAUACUUCCAAAGUCCACACUUUGUUUUCAUACAUAGAUCCUAUCUUGGACUUCAUGGACUCUAGCCAUUUGUUGGAAUCCGGGCCCACCCUUGCUUCUUCAUAAUUUGCAGGUUCAUUGUUGUCUAACAACAUGAUUGAUAAGACAGGAUUACCGUACCACUCAGGAGCAGUACGUGAUCUUGUAGACCUACAAGGUCCGAUAGGAACUUGAUAUGAAGUUGCAUGAUCAUCAUCAUUAACUUCCUCCUCAACCGGCGUCGCUUCGACAGAGGUUUCCCCUUGCCCCGCGCCACCAUCUUGAGGGAUUAGAGGUUCGACAACCUCAUCAAGUUCUACCUUCCUCCCACUCAAUUCUUUCGAGAGAAACUCCUUCUCAAGAAAAGCCCCGUUCUUANNNNNNNNNNNNNNNNNNNNNNNNNNNNNNNNNNNNNNNNNNNNNNNNNNNNNNNNNNNNNNNNNNNNNNNNNNNNNNNNNNNNNNNNNNNNNNNNNNNNACGAGAAACAUCUCCUUAGUCCUUUUCAGGUACUUCAGGAUAUUCUUGACCGCCGUCGAGUGAUCCACUCCUGGAUUACUCUAGAACCUGCCUCCCAUACUUAUGGCGAGGCUAAUGUCCGGUCUAGUGCACAACAUUGCAUACAUGAUAGAACUUACGGCUGAAGCAUAGGGGACGGAACUCAUAUGCUCUCUAUCUUUAUCAGUUGCUGGGCACUGAGUCUUACUCAAUCCCAUACCUUGUAAAACUGGCAAGAACCCCUUCUUGGACUGUUCCAUUUUGAACCUCUUCAAAACUUUAUCAAGUUCGUGCUUUGCGAAAGUCCUAUCAGGCGUUUUGAUCUAUCCCUAUAGAUCUUUAUGCCUAGAAUGUAAGUAGCUUCUCCUAGGUCCUUCAUAGAGAAACUUUUAUUCAAGUAAUCCUUUAUGCUGUCCAAAAGCUCCACGCCGUUUCCAAUCAGUAAUAUGUCAUCCACAUAUAAUAUUAGGAACGCCACAGAGCUCCCACUCACUUUCUUGUAAAUACAGGAUUCUCCAACCACCUGUAUAAACCCAAAUGCUUUGAUCACCUCAUCAAAGCGUUUAUUCCAACUCCGAGAUGCUUGCACCAGUCCAUAAAUGGAUCGUUGGAGUUUGCACACUUUGAUAGCAUUUUUAGGAUCGACAAAACCUUCGGGUUGCAUCAUAUACAACUCUUCCUUAAGGAAACCGUUAAGGAACACCGUUUUGACAUCCAUCUGCCAGAUUUCAUAAUCGAAAAAUGCAGCUAUUGCUAACAUGAUUCGGACGGACUUAAGCAUCGCUACGGGUGAGAAUGUCUCAUCGUAGUCAAUUCCUUGAACUUGUGAAAUACCCUUUGCCACAAGUCGAGCUUUAUAAACGGUCACAUUACCGUCAGCGUCCGUCUUCUUCUUAAAGAUCCAUUUGUUCUAAAUAGCCUUGCGGCCUUCAGGUAGUACUUCCAAAGUCCACACUUUGUUUUCAUACAUAGAUCCUAUCUCAGACUUCAUGGCCUCCAGCCAUUUGUUGGAAUCCGGGCCCACCAUUGCUUCUUCAUAAUUCGCAGGCUCAUUGUUGUCCAACAACAUAAUUGAUAAGACGGGAUUACCGUACCACUCUGGAGUAGUACGCGGUCUCGUCGACGUGUGAGGUCCGACAGGAACUUGAUUUGGAGUUUCAUGAUCAUCAUCAUUAACUUCCUCCUCAACCGGUGUCGCAGCGACACGGGUUUCCCCUUGCCCUGCGCCACCAUCCAGAGGGAUGAGAGGUUCGACAACCUCAUCAAGUUCUAUCUUCCUCCCACUCAAUUCUCUCGAGAGAAACUCCUUCUCGAGAAAAGCUCCGUUCUUAGCAACAAACACUUUGCCCUCGGAUUUGAGAUAGAAAGUAUACCCAACUGUCUCUUUUGGGUAACCUAUUGUAACGACCAAGAUGCGGUCCUUUCCGAUCUGGGGAUCGAGGCCCCGAAUUGGAAAGGAGCGCAUCUAAGCAUCUCGCAAACAGGUAACACAGCACAUACAUAAUAAUAAAGAUAGACAAUCAGGGAUUCAAUUGCCUUCUCAUAAUAAUCUCAGAGUACAUCACACAUACAACCAAGGUAGUUCCGCUACGGACUACAAAACAUAGAAAGGCUAUGCUACCCUGCCUGCAGGCCCAUGAUCACGACCAUGCCUCAAUCUUCUGGAUAGUUCACGUAAAGGCAGUCUGUCUCCUCGUCGUACUGCCACGCCAGCUGAGUGCCAUCGGGAUCAUCUGUCUCUGGGGUACCUGAACCUGUUGGGAUUUUGGAGGAAUCCGUGAGCCAUGGGGACUCAGCAAUCUAAUACCUUGGUGCCAGAACUAGUCAAGUUAUUAGGUCAGAUAAGGUGAAGUGUUUAAGGUUGCAUCAUCCAAAGCUUGAUUUGGUGGCUAACUUACGUAAGCAUUUAAGAAGGUGGUCUAUACUAGCAGUCGUGAAUACUUGAUCACUAAGUGAUCGUGAACACCUACCUACGUCAUUCAUAACCCCACCGUGUUCCCGGUCAAAGAGAGAUCCUCGAGGGGACAGUCACUGUUACGCACACAGUUGGCAAUUUUAUUAGCUUUUGUUUAAGUUAUCUAAUACCGGAUGUUAACAAGAUAUUCCAAGUUGCCACAUAACCGCGGGCACGGCUUUCCAAAAGAUUAAACCCUGCAGGGGUGCUCCAACUAGUCCAUCAUAAACAUACACAGGCCGCAAAGUAAUCCUCUAUCACAAAUCUCGUGAUCUCGUCGGAUUCCUUAGAGGAAAACCUCAACUCUGGGGGAAACCAAAGUUUCACUGGAAUUCCUAUACGCAAGAUAUAUCGCUAAGGUAAGGCAAGACUAGAAGGACCUCCCGACGUGUCGACGACCUUGAUAAGAGCCGCGUAUCUAAGUCUCAGGACACACCGGAUGAGCUACGCGCACGAUGGCCUGAUAGAAAUCACUCAAGUUGCCCUGAGUUGGCCCCGAGCAGUGCCCAGUUUGGACCAACACUCAUGAGGAGCACUGGCCCAGGUUGUUGAUUAAAUUCCUCGGGGUAGCUACUCCCUAUGCAGAUUAUUAUUAAGUGAUUAGCAAAUUAACACCAAUGUUGGGUCCUGCCGGACAAGCCUUAGCACUACGCGAUUUAUCGAGGGGGUCCCCAUAACAACCCCGAACGUGUUAGGAGCGAUCAAUAUGGAAUCAAACACCGGUAGCCGGUAACUAUGGCGGCAAUAACGGAACAAGCACCCGGCAAAAGGCUAGGCCUUCCGUCAUUUACCAAGUAUAUAGGUGCAUUAAUUGAAUAACAGAAUUUAAGAUAAUGAUAUCAAGCUCAUGUUGUCACAUGAGACAAAGCACCUGCAUCUAGCAACGCUAACAUUAGUAGCUGAGCAAAGCCUACUUAGCCAUUCAAGUUUGCUAGGAAGGGAUCAGUGUUUGGGUUCAUGGCAUAUCAAGAGGAAAAUAUUUCAGUGGUAGGCAGCGAGCAAUAUCACAUGGAAACGCAAACUAGCAUAACAAGUCUAGAGAUGGAAUCAAGGUCAUAUCAUCUUGCCUGUGAUAUCCUCAGCUUGGAAUGGUUCUUGUUCGUCCUGCACGUACUCUCCCGAAUCCACGUACUCGUUCUAUGAUCUCGGUGCUACCCAACAUAAUAAUAACAUCCAAUGAACAACAGCACCUCAAGAUGCAACAAGUACAUGAUGCAUGAGAUGAAAAAUGAGCAUGCAUCACUAUUUCUAUCACUAGCACAAGCAAAAGAAGCUAAUACAAGUUCCUGGACAGAACUGUACCCUAAGCUAUUUUGACAUGCAUGAGAUUGACAUGAUCAGAUGCGUCUCGAGAAAUUGAUGCAAAACCAUAUAAAGAACAUUACAAUCGGAGCUACGGAUCAACCGGAAUCAACGAAACAAGAUAUGAAGCCCUACGUGUGAAAAUCUACACCACACACUCAAAUGGCACAAAUCUGGUAUUCCCAGGUUGCUAAGACAUACAACAACCCAACAUGAAUGGAUUGGAGCAAGGAAGAACACCACAUCAGCAACUAAGCACUCACAAACACCAAAAUGACAAAACUACACAAUCUGCCAUAAUCUGCAUCUUAGCACUUUGUGAGCUACAUGCAACAUAGCUACAGCCCUCCAAGAAUACUACAAGCACAAGCAAGAAUCACACCAAAAGGAAUUAAGCACAGAAAGAUACAAGGAUGCAAACUUUCCCAAAACCAUCAGAUCUCAGGGACUUAGUGAAAAUUCGUGCACCUGACUUUCUGUCUUUGUUCUGAAGCCUAUUGACAGCAGCCAAAACAUAACCUACAGGACUCCAAAUGGGAUGACAUUUAACAGGGAGCUUCACAAACAUAUCAGGUCCAAAUUCCUGGCACUAAACUAAGGCUAGAUCACAACACAAUGACCAGCACAACCUCCUCUACAGGGGAAGAAAAAAUAACCAGAUUCUCAAACUUAGUGAAAAUCUCAGAUUUUCACUAAUCUGGAAUUUCCAGCCACAUGCCCACUUUGUCUAGGCAUAACUUGCACACAAGUAACACAAAGAGAUAAAUGACACCACUAUGGUGUAGAGCAAAACCCCUACUACUACCACACAAAAGCUCAUGCCCAUGGGCUCAACCUAUUCCAUGGAAACAAAGAGCAAACUUGCAACACAUCUGAAUAUGUCAACUCCAGAAAGUAUCCUAAUGGCAAAACUAACUUCACCACUGGAUUCCUUGGGAGAUUCUACCCCAAAAUCAUAUAUGAUAUGUGGGCACUUACUUGGAACAAGUGACCACAAAUUAAGGAAGAGGAAACUACUCCAAAUCAUGCCUAGUGAUUAGUGCAUCAUUUCAUGUAGUUUCACUAUAUCAACUACUACAUGGUUGAGCUCAUGUGCACAAUGACAAAGUGACAUGCGGGUUUGAACCCCAUGUUUGUGUCAUGCACAUAAACUUCACAACCACUUCUACCAAGCUAUCCACACAAACAAAACACCAUGCCCUCUCACAUAUGGUCAUCUGAAGGUGCAAAGCUUGCUUGCAAAGGUGGAAUGCUUCUCACACACACAUCUACUCCACAUCACCCACAAGCACAUCAUGCUCUAGAUCAACACACAUACCUACACAUGCUAAACAUAUCUUGCAUCACAUGGCAAACAUACACACAUCAUAACCCUCAUAAGAUGCACUUACACAUGAAACUCUAGUGCAUCACACACAACAAAAUGGUAUGCUUGCAAUUCCUCCAGUAUAGAAUAACCUCCACAAGACUACUACCAGUUGAAUAUGCACACACACAAGUGCAUCACCAAGGGUUCACAUAACUAGCAAACUACCACACUCACUUGCUGGUCUGAGAAGGGAAAAAAAUAUAAGGCUCUCAUGAGCAAGCACACCACAAUGCUAUAAAGAACAGGGCUGCAAGUAACUAAAACAACAAAGGAAGAAAUAAAAAUAAUAGAACAUAGAAAAAGAUAAGGGGUAGUCUCUGGGUUCGAACCCGAGACCUACUGGUACUGCACAUGGGUGCAAACCACCCUGCUGUGCCUAUUCGCUCGACAGAACAGAGCAGUUUAACAAGGUAACUAUGCUGCUGCGCUCUCUACUGUGCCGAGGAAAUAAAUCAAACAAAAAGGGCUGCCGAGGGGGGAUCGAGCCCACGACCUCACAACAGGCACAACAACACGCUACCACUACGCUAUGAAUCGGAAGACUGGCAGAGGGGAGGGCUAAACCGAGAUAGGUUAGCACCUCAACUGAAUCUACUCUGCACCUGCGCGUUUACUACUGCUCGCCGGCGACAGGAACGCUGAGUUAAGCUACUGCUGCUACUGCGCACGAAGGGCACCAUCUACUGCUGCUGCUCGACGGCUACGCCUCGCUAGCCUCCGCAUGCCUCGCCACUACACGAACACGCUCUCAAGAACACAGGCACACACGAAUCCCCACGGUCUACUUCCUGACAGAGAAAGCUCCGGCGAGCACUACCUCGGAUCUAAGACGGAACCAUGGUGGAAGAAGGAAGGGGAGGUGAUCCUCCCCUGGGGGAGGAAGAAGGGGUUCGGUAUGUGGAGGAAGAAGCGCCAGAGGGGAAGAAGACCGACAACGAAGAAGUUCCUGAUCUGCAGAACCAAAGUAGGGGAAGGAGCACUGGGAACUCGCCGUUGACGUGGUCGGGGCCGUCGGUGCAGUCGAUCCCCGGGGCUCCUAGCGCCGGGAAUGGAUCACGGGGAUCCACCCCGAGCUCCCGGACAUGGCGACGAUGACGAACGGAGAUGGGAGCGUGGCGGAUGCCGGCGAGGAGCUGCUCUCUCUCGGGUACCCUAACCUACAGAGCCUUACCGAGGGGAGGAAGAAGGAGAUGGGGAAGAAGAUGGUGGCGGCGGCAGGAGGGAAUGGAGAGGAACCCUAGGCGAGGGGGGGGGCACAGACGCCCAGGUUAUAUGGGGCCCCUUGACGUUUGUGCAACGGCGUCAUGUCUCUCUGUCUCUCGGCUACUGACGGAAAGAAGCAGAGGGGUGCAGACGGCGUUAGGAGGAGGACGAAAGGCGGAUGGGCCACGUGCGCGAGGGAGGAAGGGAAAGGGCCGCCAGGGAGAGGGAGCCCACUGGCGCUAUUUAGACAGAAAAGAAAAACCUGGGCUACUUCUAUUUAAAAGAAAGACCAGAAAGGAAAAAUAAUACAAGGCAAAAACUACUGGGAUAAAUUCAAAAGAAAAUACCCCCUGGUCAUAUAAAAAUAUGACCUAUUUAAAUAAAAUAAGAUCAAGAUUUUUAGGAGCAGAUAAUAUUUCACAAAACAGAAUUAAUGCCUCUGUUUUGUUCUUAUUGCACCUGCUUUCAACACUUUUAAAAACACCAAACUAUCACAACUUCACACUCACAAUAAUCCCUAAACAUUGGACAUUUUUAAAACAGGGAAGGAAGGAGUGAAUCUUGACUUUAAGAAAAAAAUAGAGAGGGAGGGAGGAUGGUUUGAAACCUAAGCAACUUACUAUCACAUGCACUCAUAGUAGCCCCUCAACAUACACACAAGAACACAUGCAACACUAGGUAGCUAACCACAAGAUCACCACACCACAUGAAAUGCUAAGAUCAUAUAGCAACAACACAAGUCAAGGGCAUGCAAUGAUAUGCUAUGCAUGCAUGCAUGAGAAGGAAGUAGUAAGGAACACACAUGGAAUCAUGGUACCAAAUAUAACAUCAUAAUCUCUGACAAGGUGGACCCAGUGCAAUAGGUUCCAAAUAGGGAUGGUUUACAUCUGGGGCACUACACCUAUGAAUACACACUUUUCCGCUUUGGGUUCCAGCUUUUCAGGCUGAAGCUUUUUGACAUUAGCAUCACAUCCCCAAACUUUAAGAAACGAUAACUUUGGUCUUUUGCCAUACCACAACUGAUAUGGUGUCGUCUCAACGGAUUUUGAUGGUGCCCUAUUUAAAGUGAAUGCAGCUAUUUCUAAUGCAUAACCCCAAAACGAUAAUGACAAAUCGGUAAGAGACAUCAUAGAUCGUACCAUCUCUAAUAAAGUACGAUUACGACGUCCGGACACACCAUUGCGCUGUGAUGUUCCAGGCGGUGUCAACUGUGAAGCAAUUCCAUAUUGUCUUAAGUGAGCACCAAACUCGAAACUCAGAUAUUUACCCCCACGAUCAGACCGUAGGAACUUGAUCUUCUUGUUAUGAUGAUUUUUGACUUCACUCUGAAAUUGUUUGAACUUUUCAAAUGUUUCAGACUUGUGCUCCAUCAAGUAGACAUAACCAUAUCUACUCAAAUCAUCAGUGAAGGUGAGAAAAUAACGAUAUCCGUCGCGUGCCUCCACACUCAUGGGACCACACACAUCGGUAUGUAUGAUUUCCAACAAGUCACUUGCAUGCUCCAUUGUUCCGGAGAACGGAGUUUUAGUCAUCUUGCCCAUGAGGCAUGGUUCGCACGUGUCAAGUGAAUCAAAGUAAAGUGACUCCAAAAGUCCAUUGGUAUGGAGUUUCUUCAUGUGCUUUACACCAAUAUGACCUAAGCGGUAGUGCCAUAAAAACAUGGCGCUAUCAUUGUUAACUCUAAAUCUUUUGGUCUCAAUGUUAUGUAUAUGUGUAUUAUCACUAUCAAGAUUCAAUAUGAACGUUCCUCUCACAUUGGGUGCAUGACCAUAAAAGAUAUUACUCAUAGAAAUAGAACAACCAUUAUUCUCUGACUUAGACGAGUAACCGUCUCGCAAUAAACAAGAUCAAGAUAUAAUGUUCAUGCUUAACGUAGGCACUAAAUAACAUUUAUUUAAGUUCAUAACUAAUCCUGAUGGUAACUGAAGUGAAAUUGUGCCGAUGGCGAUUGCAUCAACCUUGGAACCAUUUCCCACGCGCAUCAUCACUUCAUCCUUCGCUAGCCUUCGCUUAUUCCGCAGCACCUGUUUCGAGUCACAAAUAUGAGCAACAGAACCGGUAUCGAAUACCCACGCACUACUACGAGAGCUGGUUAAGUACACAUCAAUAACAUGUAUAUCGAAUAUACCUGAUUUUUCUUUGGCCGCCUUCUUAUCAGCUAGAUACUUGGGGCAGUUGCGCUUCCAGUGACCCAUACCCUUGCAAUAAUAGCACUCCGUUUCAGGCUUAGGUCCAGCUUUGGGUUUCUUCGUCGGAUUGGCAACAGGCUUGCCACUCUUCUUUGAAUUACCCUUCUUUCCUUUGUCGUUGCUCUUGAAACUAGUGGUCUUAUUCACCAUCAACACUUGAUCCUCUUUACGGAGUUGUGACUCUGCGACUUUCAGCAUCGCGAAUAACUCGCCGGGUGACUUGUUCAUCCCUUGCAUGUUAUAGUUCAACACAAAGCCCUUAUAGCUUGGUGGCUGUGAUUGAAGAAUUCUAUCAGUGAUAGCCUCUUGCGGGAGUUCAAUCCCCAGCUCAGCUAGACGGUUUGAGUACCCAGACAUUUUGAGCACAUGUUCACUGACAGACGUGUUUUCCUCCAUCUUGCAAGCAUAGAAUUUAUCGGAGGUCUCAUACCUCUCGAUCCGGGCAUUCUUCUGAAAGAUAAACUUCAACCACAGACGAGUUCUCCUCCAUCUUGCAAGCAUAGAAUUUAUCGGACGUCUCAUACCUCUCGAUCCAGGCGUUCUUCUGAAAGAUAAACUUCAACUCCUAGAACAUCUCAUAUGCUACAUGAUGCUCAAAGCGACGUUGAAGUCCCGACUCUAAGCCAUACAAGACUGCACAUUGAACUACUGAGUAAUCCUCCUUGCGUGCUAACCAAGCGUUCUUAGCAUCUUGGUUAGCUGCGGCGGGUGGUUCAUCUCCUAACGCAGCAUUAAGGACAUAAUUAUUCUUCCCAGCUUGCAGGAGCAACUUAAGAUUACGAGCCCAGUCUACAAAGUUGCUUCCAUCAUCUUUCAACUUAGCUUUCUCUAGGAACGUAUUAAAAUUUAGGGUGACUGUCGCGUGAGCCAUUGAUCUACAACACAAAUAUUUUCAAAGUGGACUUAGACUAUGUUCAAGAUAAUUAGAGUUUAAUUAAUCAAAUUACUUGCUAAACUCCGACUCAAAAAGUACAUCUCUCUAGUCCUUUGAGUGGUUCAUGAUCCAAUUCCACUAGCUCAAGUCUGAUCAUCACGUGAGUUGAGGAUAGUUUCAGUGGUAAGCAUCCCUAUGCUAAUCAUAUCAACUAUAUGAUUCAUGAUCGACCUUUCGGUCUCAUAUGUUCUGAGGCCAUGUCUGCACAUGCUAGGCUCAUCAAGCUUAACCCGAGUGUUCCGCGUGUGCAACUGUUUUGCACCCGUUGUAUGUGAAUGUUGAGUCUAUCACACCCGAUCAUCACGUGGUGUCUCGAAACGACNNNNNNNNNNNNNNNNNNNNNNNNNNNNNNNNNNNNNNNNNNNNNNNNNNNNNNNNNNNNNNNNNNNNNNNNNNNNNNNNNNNNNNNNNNNNNNNNNNNNUACAACAUGAUCAUCUCAUACAUCCAAUAUAUCACAUCACAUCGUCGGCCAUAUCACAUCACAAGCAUACCCUGCAAAAGUUAGUCGUCCUCUAAUUGUUGUUGCAUGUUUUAUGUGGUGGCCAUGGGUAUCUAGUAGGAUCGCAUCUUACUUACGCAAAUACCACAACGGGGAUGUAUGAAUUGCUAUUUAACCUCUCUGCAAGGACCUCCUCGGUCAAAUGCGAUUCAACUAAAGUUGGAGAAACUGACACUCGCCAUUCAUCUUUGAGCAACGGGGUUGCUCGUAGCGAUGAAAACAGUCUCUCGUAAGCGUACGAGUAAUGUCGGUCCGAUCCACUUCGAUCCAACAAUACCGCGGAAUCAAGAAAACACUAAGGAGGGCAGCAAAUCGCACAUCACCGCCCAAAAAAAACUUUUGUGUUCUACUCGAGAUGACAUCUACGCAUGAACCUAGCUCAUGAUGCCACUGUUGGGGAACGUCGCAUGGGAAACAAAAAAUUUCCUACGCGCAUGAAGACCUAUCAUGGUGAUGUCCAUCUACAAGAGGGGAUUUCCGAUCUACGUACCCUUGUAGAUCGCACAGCAGGAAGCGUUAAGAAACGCGGUUGAUGUAGUGGAACGUCCUCACGUCCCUCGAUCCGCCCCGCGAACUAUCCCCGAACCGUCCCGCGAUCCGUCCCACGAUCCGCUCCGAUCUAGUGCUGAACGGACGACACCUCCGCGUUCAGCACACGUACAGCUCGACGAUGAUCUUGACCUUCUUGAUCUAACAAGAGAGACGGAGAGGUAGAUGAGUUCUCCAACAGCGUGACGACGCUCCGGAGGUUGGUGGUGAUCUAUUCCAGCAGGGCUCCGUCCGAGCUCCGCAGAAAUACGAUCUAGAGGAAAAACCGUGGAGGUAUGUGGUCGGGCUGCCGUGGCAAAGUUGUCUCAAAUCAGCCCUAAUACCUCAGUAUAUAUAGGAGGGAGGGGGAGGGCCUUGCCUUGAGGCUCAAGAGAGCCCCAAGGGGUCGGCCGAACUAGGGGUGGAGGAGUCCACCUCCAAUCCUAGUCCAACUAGGAUUGGAAGGUGGAGUCCUCCCCUUCCUUCCCACUUCCCCUUUUUUUUCUCUUUCAUUUGAUUUCUUGAUCUCCUGCGCAUAGGGCCUCUUGGGCUGUCCCACCAGCCCACUAAUGGCUGGUGCGGCACCCCUAAGGCCUAUGGGCUUCCCCCGGGUGGGCUGCCCCCCCGGUGAACAUCCGGAACCCAUUCGUCACUCCUCGUACAUUCCCGGUAAUGCCCGAAAACUUUCCGGUAAUCAAAUGAGGUCAUCCUAUAUAUCAAUCUUUGUUUUUGGACCAUUUCGGAAACCCUCGUGACAUCCGUGAUCUCAUCCGGGACUUCGAACAACAUUCGUUAACCAACCAUAUAACUCAACUACGCAUAAAACAUCACCGAACCUUAAGUGUGUAGACCCUGCGGGUUCGAGAACUAUGUAGACAUGACCCGAGGGACUCCUCGGUCAAUAUCCAAUAGCGGGACCUGGAUGCCCAUAUUGGAUCCUACAUACUCUAUGAAGAUCUUAUCGAUUGAACCUCAGUGCCAAGGAUUCAUAUAAUCCCGUAUGUCAUUCCCUUUGUCCUUCAGUAUGUUACUUGCCCGAGAUUCGAUCGUCAGUAUCCGCAUACCUAUUUCAAUCUCGUUUACCGGCAAGUCUCUUUACUUGUUCCAUAAUACAAGAUCCCGUGACUUACACCUCUAUGAAGAUCUUAUCGAUUGAACCUCAGUGCCAAGGAUUCAUAUAAUCCCGUAUGUCAUUCCCUUUGUCCUUCAGUAUGUUACUUGCCCGAAAUUCGAUCGUCAGUAUCCGCAUACCUAUUUCAAUCUCGUUUACCGGCAAGUCUCUUUACUUGUUCCAUAAUACAAGAUCCCGUGACUUACACUAAGUCACAUUGCUUGCAAGGCUUGUGUGUGAUGUUGUAUUACCGAGUGGGCCCCGAGAUACCUCUUCGUCACACGGAGUGACAAAUCCCAGUCUUGAUCCAUACUAACUCAACGGACACCUUCGGAGAUACCUGUAGAGCAUCUUUAUAGUCACCCAGUUACGUUGUGACGUUUGAUACACACAAGGCAUUCCUCCGGUGCCAGUGAUUUAUAUGAUCUGAUGGUCAUAGGAAUAAAUACUUGACACGCAGAUAAUAGUAGCAACAAAAUGACACGAUCAACAUGCUACGUUUAUUAGUUUUGGUCUAGUCCAUCACAUGAUUCACUCAAUGAUGUGAUCCAGUUAUCAAGCAACAACACCUUGUACAUAGUCAGAAGACCUUGACUAUCCUUGAUCAACUAGCUAGCCAACUAGAGUCUUGCUAGGGAUAGUGUUUUGUAUAUGUACCCACACAUGUAUCUAAGUCUUCAUUUAAUACAAUUAUAGCAUGGAUAAUAAACGAUUAUCUUGAUACAGGAAUUAUAAUAAUAACUUAUUUAUCAUUGCCUCUAGGGCAUAAUUCCAACAAAUGUCUCAUGAUGAUCUUAGAAUGGAAAACGAUUCAUUGCUUUCUCAACACAUCAGUGCCGCUCAGGUUGAAUUCAUUCCACCAUGUUUGAAAUGCAUCGAUCGUGAAACUGCUAAUUCUUCACUGGAACCGUCAAAUGCUUCUAUUGCUACAAAUUCUUCAACUGUCCCUGUGGUAUCAAAUUCUUCACUUGAAGAAACCACAAAUGCUACUGACGGAAAUGCAGGGCUGAAGGAAUUGUAUGUGACAGGCAUAUACAAAAGUCCCAAAGGGCAUCAAACCCUUUGGGGUGUGCUCAAAAAGUAGAUUUUGAAGAGGAACCCGAGGAAAGAAGGGAUUGCCUUUGAGAGGAAAUUGAAUGCUGAUGGAUCAUACUGGAAACCCGAGCAGUACCCCAAAACCUCAUGGGUUGCUGCUAAAGGUCCUCCCAUCGAUCCAUCUAUUCUAACAGGCUUUGCAUCUGAAUUAUCCUAUUCCUCACAUGAGUCAUUUGACUACAACUAUAAACUGUUCAAAAAUCAAUCUGGUGAAGUAUUUGCUCGAUAUGUUGGAACUAACUACAGGAAUGGACCACCCCUAAGGAAAAUCUGGGUUCCCAAAAGUUGCUUCGAAAAUCUUGAGGUGAAUGUCAUCAUGACACCACCUGUGAAGAACCAGAAACCCAGAUCAAUUUCCUUAGGUGGACCAAAGUCUUCGCGAGGAUCAAAAUCUUCAAAUGGUCAAUACUAUGCUCGUACUCGCGCUAAUGCUUCUGAUAUGCAGGGAAAUUACAGGGGAUAUGAAUAUGAGCGUUAUUCCUUAAAUCGUUAUGUUCAUAAGUCCUCAAAGAAUUUCUCUGCCUAUUCAUUUGAGUACUCUAACCCCCUACUGUGAAAAGAAGCGCAUUAGUAUCAAUGCCUCCAUUCUCAUAUGGUGCUCACAGGAUGAUGAUCUGUUUUCCACCCCUUCAGAUGUGGGUGGUGAAGAAAUUGAAGUAAUCACUUCUUCAUGUCAGGUCUCUAGAUGAAAGUCAUCAUCUGAAGAAUUUGUUGGACACCUGAGGAAAAUGAUUGAUUGGACGCAAGCUAAAAAUGAUGAAAUGAUAACAUUUCAGAUGUCCUCAAAUUUACUAUUUAUGAUGAAAUUCUUAUGUGAUGAAAUCGAUAGAAUAUUAUUCAAGUCUGAAGCAUAUGAGAUGGUAGGCUGUACUAAUUCAUCUGCAGGAUUGCAAACCCAAGAAUACCGAAUGGGUUCUUGAUAGUGGUUGCACUAAUCACAUGACUGGUGAUAAAAGCUUGCUGAUGAAUAUGCCACUCACUCCGUCACCACUGAAGCAAAUCACUUAUGCUGACAAAGGUAAAAGCAAGGUAUUGGGACUUGGCAAAGUGGCUAUCUCCAAGGACAUGCACAUGGACAAAGUCAUGCUUGUCGAAUCCCUUGGGUUUAACCUCAUAUUUGUCUCACUCUUUGUGAUCUUGAUAUGAUUGUCAUCUUUGGAAAAUUUAGAUGCGUAGUCAUCAUGGAAUUUGACAAAUCCAAAGUCUUCAAAGGCUUUAGGAGAGGAGAUUUGUACUUUGUUGAUUUUUCCAUAGGUCGUUACCCAACCACAUGCUUACUAGCAAAAACCUCAUAAGGCUGGCUAUGGCAUCGACGACUUGGUCAUGCAGGCAUGAGGAAUUUGCACACGCUGGCGAAAAAGAAGCAUGUCAUUGGCAUCGAAUCCAUCAAAUUCUUCAAGGACCAUCUCUGCGGUGCAUGUGAAUCUGGAAAAUAACCAGAUCCAAACACCCCUCGAAGACUAUCAUGACUACUACUCAUUCAUUUGAAUUGCUUCACGUGGAUCUGUUUGGACCUACUCAUUAUGCUACUCUAACCAAUGCAGCAUCUUAUAUGGCUUUUUCAUCGUUGAUGACUAUUCUCGCUAUACUUGGGUACACAUCAUUCUGUAUAAAACUGAAGUGCAAGAAGUCUUCAAACGAUUUUCCUCAAGGGCCUCGACCAACUUCGGCGUCAAGAUCAAAGACAUCAGGAGUGAUGAUGGCACAUAAUACAAAAUCACUGGUAUUAAUGAUUAUCUUGAUGAACUUGGUAUUACUCACGAAUUAUCUGCUCCUUAUACUCCUCAACAGAAUGGCGUCGUUGAACGCAAGAACAUGACUCUGGUUGAAAUCGCAGGAACUAUGCUUGAAGAAUAUCAGACUCCUCGUCGUUUCUGGCCUGAAGCAAUGAACACUGCUUGCCACAUCAUCAACCGGGUAUAUCUUCACAAAUUCCUCAAGAAAACCUCAUAUGAACUCCUCACUGAAAAGAAACGCAAUGUAAGUUAUUUCAAAGUCUUCGGUGCAAAAUGCUGGAUUAGAGAUCCUCACCAUAGCUGAAAAUUUGCACCUAAAGCACAUGAGGGUUUUAUGCUUGGUUACAGAAAGGAAUCGCACACCUAUAGAGUCUUCAACACCUAUCACAACAUGGUUGUUGAAACUAUAGAUGUGCAGUUUGAUGAAACUAAUGGCUCACAAAGAGAACAACUGCCUCAUGUGCCAGAUAAAUUACCUCAUGAGGAAGCCAUCAAGCUCAAGGGACCUGAAUAUAUCAUUCCUACUGAGGAACAACCCCUUGUUGAAGAAGUCAUCCCCAACACUAAGGAAAUUCAAACUAGUGCAUGUGAGGAAAAUGCUACAUAUCAAAUUCCUCAGCCUAACCAAAGUCUUCAACCGUCUCAUCCAAGGAUUGCAAAUGAAGUGGAACUUAAAAAAUCCUCGAUGACAUCAAUGCGCCAGGUCCUCUCACUCGUUCAAAAGCUUCAAAUUUAGUUAACUUUUGUGGGCAUUCCUCUUUUGUGUCUAUCACAGCUCAAAAGUUGAUGAAGCCUUCAUGGAACCUGAGUGGAUUCAAGCCAUGCAAGAUGAACUUCUUCAGUUCAAGCUAAAUGACGCGUGGGAACUCGUCAAAAGACCAGAUCCUUGCAAGCACAAUAUCACUGGCACCAAGUGGAUCUACCUAAACAAGCAAGAUGAGGAUGGUCAAGUGGUGAGGAAUAAGGCACGGCUUGUAGCCCAAGGCUACACAGAGGUCGAAGGAAUUGACUUCGAUGAAACUUUUGCACCUGUUGCUAGACUUGAAGCUAUUUGAAUAUUACUUGCUUAUGCUAAUCAUCACAAUAUUACUCUAUAUCAAAUGGAUGUGAAAAGUGCAUUCCUCAAUGGUAUGCUUGAGGAAGAAGUAUAUGUUGCUCAGCCCCCAGGUUUUGAAGACCCGAAGCAUCCAGACAAAGUCUUCAGACUGAAAAAGGCAUCUAUGGCCUCAAGCAAGACCCUCGGGCGUGGUAUGAUACAUUGAAGGAAUUCCUCAUAAAGAAAAGCUUCAAACCCGGUUCACUUGAUCCUACUCUUUUCACAAAAUCCUAUGAUAAUGAACUAUUUGUGUGCCAAAUAUAUGUCGACGACAUUAUUUUUGGUUGUACUGACAAACGUUACAGUGAUGAAUUUGCCUACAUGAUGAGUGAAGAAUAUCAAAUGUCUAUGAUGGGGGAGCUGAAAUUUUUCUUAGGUCUGCAAAUUCGUCGACAACGCAAUAGCAUCUUCAUAUAUAUCACACUGAAAUAACUCAAGGACGUUUGAUACGUCUCCAACGUAUCUACUUUUCCAAACUCUUUUGCCCUUGUUUUGGACUAUAAUUUGCAUGAUUUGAAUGGAACUAACCUGGACUGACGCUGUUUUCAGCAGAAUUUGCUUGGUGUUAUUUUUGUGCAGAAAUCAAAGUUCUCCAAACGUCCUGAAAAUUUACGGGGAGCAGUUUUGCAAAAUAUCAAAAAUAUGUGCGCCAAGUUCCACCUCAGGGGGUGGGCCAGUGGACCACAAGCCCAUGCUCCGCCACCACCCCUGGUGGCGGUGGGCAGGCUUGUGGGGCCCACAGGCACCUGCCGCCCCCAACUCCAGCUCUAUAAGUUGUCUUUCGUCCCAGAAAAAAUAAAAAGAGAAGUUUUCGUCGCGUUUUCGAUACGGAGGCGCCGCCACCACCUGUUUUUCAUCUGGAGGGCAGAUCUGGAGUCCGUCUUGGGCUCCAGAGAGGGUAAAUGGUCGCCAUCAUCAUCAUCAACCUUCUCCCCUCUCCAAUUCCAUGAAGCUCUUCGUCGUUCGUGAGUAAUCUAUUCGUAGGCUCGCUGGGCGGUGAUGAGUAGGAUGAGAUCUAUCAUGUAAUCAAGUUAGUUUUGAUGGGCAUUGAUCCCUAGUAUCCACUAUGUUCUGAGAUUUGAUGUUGCUACUACUUUGCCAUGCUUAAUGCUUGUCACUAGGGCCCGAGUGCCAUGAUUUCAGANNNNNNNNNNNNNNNNNNNNNNNNNNNNNNNNNNNNNNNNNNNNNNNNNNNNNNNNNNNNNNNNNNNNNNNNNNNNNNNNNNNNNNNNNNNNNNNNNNNNGGCUCACUCGGUCGUGUUACCUAGAACCUCAUGAAGAAUGAUCAGAGCACAAUCAUUACUGGAUAAGCCGAGGUGGGCACUCCAAUCUUGUCUACAAUUACAGCUCCAUAGUGUACAUUCUGAUCGCGCAGAUCAUUUCUCUCUGCAGUACUCCAUGAUAAGCUCUGCAGCUCUCGGUGGUGCAUAGAUAACAGAGCAAUUGGCAGAUGGUAGGUAGCAAGGACAGAGAAGAACAUCAACAGUUCACCCCUUGGAAUUUCAGAUGCGAGACUUUGAUGUAAACCUUAGGAAAAACAGCAUAGUGUCAGGAUUGAAACUGUGUAUUAGUAGUAGUGCUAGCACUUAACAAAUAGCUCACGAUAGCCAUUUGGGCCACCUACUCUCCGAAGGCGGUAGUUGUGGAUGAAUAUACAUCGGCUUCACACUUCCACGGGGUGCCGAAGUUGUAGAACAUGCAUUCCAUUCUGUCCCGGUUAAACAAUGUAAAAUAACGGCUCCCCUCAUCUUAAACUACUGCGCCCUACCUUUCAGUUAGCCAAGGCGUACUUCGUUGGCAUUACUUCAUGCUUAUACCAAUACCAGCCAUCCAUAUAUCUUCAGAGACAUUAUAUGGCUCCAUCGCAUUUGCAUAUGGC